Molecule: ribosomal RNA, 254 nt
Filed under: uncultured bacterium
Lineage: Bacteria
Description: partial 16S ribosomal RNA
Rfam family: Bacterial small subunit ribosomal RNA
Source: RNAcentral
UACGUAGGGUGCGAGCGUUUGUCCGGAAUUACUGGGCGUAAAGAGCUCGUAGGUGGUUUGUCGCGUUGUUCGUGAAAACUCACAACUCAAUUGUGGGCGUGCGGGCGAUACGGGCAGACUGGAGUACUGCAGGGGAGACUGGAAUUCCUGGUGUAGCGGUGAAAUGCGCAGAUAUCAGGAGGAACACCGAUGGCGAAGGCAGGUCUCUGGGCCGAUACUGACGCUGAGACGCGAAAGCGUGGGUAGCAAACAGG